UAAUAAGCAUUUCACUGUAAGGUCUACUACACCUGUUGUAUUCAGCAUUUCACUGUAAGGUCUACCUACACCUGUUGUAUUCAUCAUUUCACUGUAAGGUCUACCUACACCUGUUGUAUUCAGCAUUUCACUGUGAGGUCUACCUACACCUGUUGUAUUCAGCAUUUCACUGUAAGGUCUACUACACCUGUUGUAUUCAGCAUUUCACUGUGAGGUCUACUACACCUGUUGUAUUCAGCAUUUCACUGUAAGGUCUACCUACACCUGUUGUAUUCAGCAUUUCACUGUAAGGUCUACUACACCUGUUGUAUUCAGCAUUUCACUGU
This is a long non-coding RNA of Oncorhynchus tshawytscha (Chinook salmon), 326 nucleotides long. NCBI's taxonomy places the organism in Eukaryota, Metazoa, Chordata, Actinopteri, Salmoniformes, Salmonidae. The record is from Ensembl.